GACGAACGCUGGCGGCGUGCUUAACACAUGCAAGUCGAGCGGUAAGGCCCUUUCGGGGGUACACGAGCGGCGAACGGGUGAGUAACACGUGGGUGACCUGCCCUCAGCUCUGGGAUAAGCCUGGGAAACCGGGUCUAAUACUGGAUAUGACUCCAUGACGCAUGUUGUGGGGUGGAAAGCCUUGUGCGGCUGAGGAUGGGCCCGCGGCCUAUCAGCUUGUUGGUGGGGUGANGGCCUACCAAGGCGACGACGGGUAGCCGGCCUGAGAGGGCGACCGGGCCACACUGGGACUGGAGACACGGCCCAGGACUCCUACGGGAGGCA
Molecule: ribosomal RNA, 324 nt
Filed under: uncultured bacterium
Lineage: Bacteria
Description: bacterial SSU rRNA
Rfam family: Bacterial small subunit ribosomal RNA
Source: RNAcentral